RNAcentral lists this ribosomal RNA (253 nucleotides) under uncultured bacterium. RNAcentral's name for it is "partial 16S ribosomal RNA". It matches the Rfam family "Bacterial small subunit ribosomal RNA", at positions 524 to 776 of the family's 1533-position model. The record is from RNAcentral.
UACAUGUGGGGCAAGCGUUGUUCGGAAUUACUGGGCAUAAAGGGUGCGUAGGCGGUUUGUUAAGUCACAGGUGAAAGUUUUCGGCCCAACCGGAAAAUUGCCUGCGAUACUGGCGAACUUGAGUGCGUGAGGGGUAGGGGGAACGAGCAGUGUAGCGGUGAAAUGCGUAGAUAUUGGGAGGAACACCAGUGGCGAAGGCGGCUACCUGGACCGGUUCUGACGCUGAUGCGCGAAAGCGUGGGUAGCAAACAGG